This is a non-coding RNA of Stegodyphus mimosarum, 73 nucleotides long. The record is from Rfam. Lineage: Eukaryota; Metazoa; Arthropoda; Arachnida; Araneae; Eresidae.
GCCUUCGUGGUGUAGUGGUCUGCAUGAUCGACGCGUAACCGAGAGGUCCGUGGUUCGAUUCCCGGCGAAGGCG